UACGGGGGGAGCAAGCGUUGUUCGGAUUUACUGGGCGGAAAGGGCGCGUAGGCGGCCACCGCAAGUCGACUGUGAAAUCUCCGGGCUUAACCCGGAAAGGUCAGCCGAUACUGCGGGGCUAGAGUGCAGAAGGGGCAACUGGAAUUCUCGGUGUAGCGGUGAAAUGCGCAGAUAUCAGGAGGAACACCGGUGGCGAAGGCGGUGGUCUGGGCCGGCACUGACGCUGAGGAGCGAAAGCGUGGGUAGCAAACAGG
RNAcentral lists this ribosomal RNA (254 nucleotides) under uncultured bacterium. RNAcentral describes it as "partial 16S ribosomal RNA". It matches the Rfam family "Bacterial small subunit ribosomal RNA", at positions 524 to 776 of the family's 1533-position model. The record is from RNAcentral.